CUACGGGUGGCUCCAGUGGGGAAUAUUGGACAAUGGGGGAAACCCUGAUCCAGCAAUGCCGCGUGUGUGAAGAAGGCCUGCGGGUUGUAAAGCACUUUCGGUUGGGAGGACUGCUUCUAGCACUAAUAUUGUUGGAAGUUGACGUUACCUUCAGAAGAAGCACCGGCUAACUCCGUGCCAGCAGCCGCGGUAAUACGGAGGGUGCGAGCGUUAAUCGGAAUUACUGGGCGUAAAGCGCGCGUAGGCGGCUAGAUCAGUCGGGUGUGAAAGCCCCGGGCUUAACCUGGGAACUGCAUCCGAUACUGUCUAGCUUGAGUACAGGAGAGGAGAGUGGAAUUCCACAUGUAGCGGUGAAAUGCGUAGAUAUGUGGAGGAACACCAAUGGCGAAGGCAGCUCUCUGGCCUGAUACUGACGCUGAGGUGCGAAAGCGUGGGGAGCAAACAGGAUUAGAUACCCCCGUAGUC
This 465-nucleotide ribosomal RNA is filed under the name uncultured bacterium. Its description in RNAcentral is "partial 16S ribosomal RNA". It matches the Rfam family "Bacterial small subunit ribosomal RNA", at positions 339 to 795 of the family's 1533-position model. The record is from RNAcentral.